RNAcentral lists this unclassified non-coding RNA (802 nucleotides) under Hevea brasiliensis (rubber tree). Lineage: Eukaryota; Viridiplantae; Streptophyta; Magnoliopsida; Malpighiales; Euphorbiaceae. The record is from RNAcentral.
UAUUAUUAUUAUUAUUAUUAUUAGCAAAAGCAAAGUUGACUUAUAAAUUAAUGGUGAACUGAAUAAUCUGCAGGAAUGCAGUAGCAGUGAGCUUCAAUGGUGAGGUGAAAAGCUUUUUGUUGCGUUAUGUUCCUUCUUAUCUUCUUUUUCCUUUUGGUUCUCUUCAAAGCAUCAUUGUUUAAUUGAAAACCUGACAUAUCCAAUAGGAUAUACAACAAAAACAAACCCCCGUGAAGAAAUCUAUAUAGCAAUCAUGAUGAUGUUGUUUUUUUGCUGUUUUUGUCUUUCUGCAUAAUUAAACAAUGCCCUGCUUGAUCAUUACUGCUACCCCACUAAAUAAUGCAUCAUAGGUACACACAUUCAAAUCCAAGACUUUACAGUCAGCCUGAUUUCAGUGCCAUUGAACUAAAACUCAUUGAUAAAUUCAGCAGCAUUUUUAGUAAGAAAAAAACUGGAUGCUUAUGAUCGGUUAGAUGCUUUUCAGGAAUGGGAUUAGUUCUUGGAAAACUGGGAUAAUAUGGUGUGAUAGUGAGAUUCCAACUUCCAAGCAGUUUAAUUUGAAAUCCUUUGUUCAAAGAUUUCUAGGGUUAUUAGCCAGCUUUUCAGAGAUAUAUUAGAUGUAGUUGUCUUAAUUAUUAUUGUGUUCAUCAUUAUGUGAAAAUUGGUUCAAGUGGAUUGCUAAUUAUUUUGAUAAUCUAAAUUAUAUUUUGUUAUGCUUGGAGCUUUGGCUUAUAAUUAAGGAUUUUAAUCUGUUGCUAUUGAUGAAGUGAGUCGAGUAUUGCGGCUUAAUUAAUGCAUAGGA